This 216-nucleotide long non-coding RNA is filed under the name Ananas comosus (pineapple). RNAcentral's name for it is "long non-coding RNA (ACOM_LNC004472)". Lineage: Eukaryota; Viridiplantae; Streptophyta; Magnoliopsida; Poales; Bromeliaceae. The record is from RNAcentral.
AAAUUUUUUCUAAAUAAUAAAUCAUUUUUAACCAUCUAUUCAACCUUUUAAAAUUUUAUUUUUAUUAUCCAACUAUUCUAUAUGUUAGAUUUUAAAAUUCACGUAUAAAAAAAUUAUAUAUUCAAAAUUUUUAUAAUAAAAAAAUUUAUGUUUGGAUUUAAAAAAACAUUAAAAAAAUUAAAAAAUAAAAAAUUCAACCCCUAAAAAAAAAAAAAA